RNAcentral lists this unclassified non-coding RNA (400 nucleotides) under Hevea brasiliensis (rubber tree). The record is from RNAcentral. Lineage: Eukaryota; Viridiplantae; Streptophyta; Magnoliopsida; Malpighiales; Euphorbiaceae.
AGGAUUUGCAUCUUCUUUUUUUUUUUUUUUUUAUGGAAGAAGAGGGGUUCUUGAGGGUAAUGCUAGUCAAUCUUUGUGGCUGCCCCUUCGGCUAUAUGAGAGUGAGAAGCCAUCUAAGCUUUCCCUGUUCUUCUACUACUUUCCCUUUAGCCUCUAUGUGUUUGGCUUCCAUGGUCUUAUUGUUUGUUGUUGUUGAUUGAGUUUAAGUUCCGUUACUUAGGUUGUAAGGGUGUUGUUGUGCCUUGGGUUCUCGAGAAGGCUUAUAGCCAUGUGUAGCUCUAGUGUUAAGCUUCAGUUUCUUGCAACUCCCUCCUGGUGAAAGAUGGCUGGCGACGAGCAGCGACGGUUGUCACUCAUUUAUUCUAUUUGGUUUUGAAUUUAGACACAUAGCCCGACCCAG